AUAAAGUGGGCAACGUGCCCGGUUGUGGGGGAUAACAUCGAGAAAUUGGUGCUAAUACCGCAUGUGUUCUUUUCCUUCAUGGGAAAAGAAGAAAGGUGCUCGGACUUCGGUUCGGGUGUCGCGACCGGAUCGGCUCACUCCCCAUUAGCUUGUUGGUAGGGUGAUGGCCUACCAAGGCAACGAUGGGUAGCUGGCCUGAGAGGGUGGUCAGCCGCACUGGGACUGAGAUACGGCCCAG
RNAcentral lists this ribosomal RNA (238 nucleotides) under uncultured bacterium. Its description in RNAcentral is "partial 16S ribosomal RNA". It matches the Rfam family "Bacterial small subunit ribosomal RNA", at positions 112 to 334 of the family's 1533-position model. The record is from RNAcentral.